CGUAAAGUCUGGGGAUGAUGAUGUGUACCCGUAAUCCCAAGAACUCAGAAGUCUGACGCAGGAACAUUGACAUAUAAUUCUCAUGACUCAACAUUUAGAGGCAGAAGACUUCUCUUUGCCCAGAGGUGUAUAUUGAGUCUAUCGCUUGGUGUUCAAUUGCCUGGGUCACAUCCAUGGCCCCUUGUCCUGUCAGACUUAGCGUAUUUUACGAAAAUCGACUGAACACACCUGGUAUGUACCUGACACUGAGUAUACAGCAAUAAACGAAGGUCAUCAUUGCUUUCAC
Tupaia belangeri chinensis (Chinese tree shrew) is the source of this 286-nucleotide long non-coding RNA. RefSeq lists it as uncharacterized. Lineage: Eukaryota; Metazoa; Chordata; Mammalia; Scandentia; Tupaiidae. The transcript has 3 exons. The record is from RefSeq and is a predicted model, not a curated record.